This 348-nucleotide unclassified non-coding RNA is filed under the name soil metagenome. RNAcentral describes it as "partial contains 5.8S ribosomal RNA, internal transcribed spacer 2, and large subunit ribosomal RNA". The stretch from base 1 to 120 matches the Rfam family "5.8S ribosomal RNA", at positions 35 to 154 of the family's 154-position model. The record is from RNAcentral.
GAUGAAGAACGUAGCGAAAUGCGAUAAGUAAUGUGAAUUGCAGAAUUCAGUGAAUCAUCGAAUCUUUGAACGCACAUUGCGCCCGCCAGUAUUCUGGCGGGCAUGCCUGUCUGAACGUCAUUUCAACCCUCAUGCCCCUAGGGCGUGGUGUUGGGGAUCGGCCAAAGCCCGCGAGGGACGGCCGGCCCCUAAAUCUAGUGGCGGACCCGUCGUGGCCUCCUCUGCGAAGUAGUGAUAUUCCGCAUCGGAGAGCGAUGAGCCCCUGCCGUUAAACCCCCAACUUUCCAAGGUUGACCUCAGAUCAGGUAGGAAUACCCGCUGAACUUAAGCAUAUCAAUAAGCGGAGGA